AUCAAGGACCUAAUCAUGGGGAAUUCAAUUGUUGUUUUUGUGGAGUGGAAAAUGGAAUUAUGCAAUAUAAUAAUGGCUUUACUGCCGACAUGCUUCGGACAUUUCCUAAUUAAGAUCACCAGGACUGUGGGUAGCUUGUGUUCCUUUUCACUUUCUUUGACAUUGACAUUCAUUUUGAAAUGGGGAUCCGUUGAAGGGGUUUUCAUUGGUCUUAUAAGUGCAAUAUUGGUGAUUGGUUUUAUAAACUUGGUGAUUGUUCUGCUGCCAUUUGGACCCAGCCAUGAGCUCAAUGGACAUUGUGACCUUGUUCUUCGGUUGUGUUUUGCACUGUACCACCUUUUGACAAAUUGUUUUCUCCAUGUCAAAGUCUACUACCUGACUGAGGAAUGGAAAGAAACUGGGAGAAAGAUUUGGCUUCUGUACACACUAAUUGUUCAGACAGUGUUAAUUAUCCUUGCAAUUGUUUGGAAUUUUGUUUUAUAUUGCAACAAAAGAACAUUACUACAUAAAGUAAGACGUAAUUAAAUUUUCUUUCUCUAAAAAUGUAAGUAAUACACUGAAUAUAAAAUAUACUGUGAAAUCACAUCAAAACACUUAUCUUUUAAUACAUCCUCUGUCACAGCUAAGGGCAUAAAUGGGGAUCAUCAAGGAAUUAAGAAGUUUCUUCGUACAUGUACAGUGCCUUUCAUCUCCCUAUUCUUCCUUGUUGGAAUCACAUCCAUUUCAUUAUGGAAUAUUGUUAAACUAUAUGACAUGCAAGAUGAUUAAUGGAUAUUAUAGUGACUAUGAUAAUUCUUCCCACCCUGACAGUGCCUAAAGCAAGGCUUAAGCUCAGAGGGGAUCGAGCGUUUUCUGUUGCAGCUCCAAAACUUUGGAAUGCAUUGCCGCUGCACAUUAGACAGGCCACCUCUCUGUCUCAUUUUAAAACUCUUCUUAAAACACACCUCUUU
This is a long non-coding RNA of Cyprinodon tularosa, 950 nucleotides long. RefSeq lists it as uncharacterized. Lineage: Eukaryota; Metazoa; Chordata; Actinopteri; Cyprinodontiformes; Cyprinodontidae. The transcript is spliced from 7 exons. The record is from RefSeq and is a predicted model, not a curated record.